UACGGGGGGGGCAAGCGUUGUUCGGAAUUACUGGGCGUAAAGGGCGCGUAGGCGGUUCGCUAAGUUGAAUGUGAAAACUCUGGGCUUAACCCAGAGCCUGCAUUCAAUACUGGCGGGCUAGAGUUCUGGAGGGGAUAGCGGAAUUCCUGGUGUAGCGGUGAAAUGCGUAGAUAUCAGGAGGAACACCGGUGGUGUAAACGGCUUUCUGGACCAUAACUGACGCUGAGGCACGAAAGCGUGGGUAGCAAACAGG
This 253-nucleotide ribosomal RNA is filed under the name uncultured bacterium. RNAcentral describes it as "partial 16S ribosomal RNA". It matches the Rfam family "Bacterial small subunit ribosomal RNA", at positions 524 to 776 of the family's 1533-position model. The record is from RNAcentral.